This 578-nucleotide ribosomal RNA is filed under the name uncultured bacterium. RNAcentral's name for it is "bacterial SSU rRNA". It matches the Rfam family "Bacterial small subunit ribosomal RNA", at positions 28 to 638 of the family's 1533-position model. The record is from RNAcentral.
AAUCAACGCUGGCGGCGUGCCUAACACAUGCAAGUCGCACGAGAAAGGGACUUCGGUCCUGAGUACAGUGGCGCACGGGUGAGUAACACGUGAAUCAUCUACCUUCGAGUGGGGAAUAACUGAGAGAAAUCUUAGCUAAUACCGCAUAAUACCUACGGGUCAAAGCAGCAAUGCGCUUGAAGAGGAGUUCGCGGCCGAUUAGCUAGUUGGCGGGGUAAUGGCCCACCAAGGCGAUGAUCGGUAUCCGGCCUGAGAGGGCGCACGGACACACUGGAACUGAAACACGGUCCAGACUCCUACGGGAGGCAGCAGUGGGGAAUUUUGCGCAAUGGGGGAAACCCUGACGCAGCAACGCCGCGUGGAGGAUGAAGUAUCUUGGUACGUAAACUCCUUUCGAUGGGGACGAUGAUGACGGUACCCAUAGAAGAAGCCCCGGCUAACUUCGUGCCAGCAGCCGCGGUAAUACGAGGGGGGCAAGCGUUGUUCGGAUUUAUUGGGCGUAAAGGGUGCGUAGGCGGUUUGGCAAGUCUUGUGUGAAAUCGAUGGGCUCAACCCAUCGUCUGCACGAGAAACUACCG